This 305-nucleotide ribosomal RNA is filed under the name uncultured bacterium. Its description in RNAcentral is "bacterial SSU rRNA". It matches the Rfam family "Bacterial small subunit ribosomal RNA", at positions 338 to 661 of the family's 1533-position model. The record is from RNAcentral.
CCUACGGGGCGCAGCAGUGGGGAAUAUUGCACAAUGGGGGGAACCCUGAUGCAGCGACGCCGCGUGAGUGAAGAAGUAUUUCGGUAUGUAAAGCUCUAUCAGCAGGGAAGAAGAUGACGGUACCUGACUGAGAAGCCCCGGCUAACUACGUGCCAGCAGCCGCGGUAAUACGUAGGGGGCAAGCGUUAUCCGGAUUUACUGGGUGUAAGGGUGCGUAGACGGGAAUACAAGUUGGUUGUGAAAGCCCUCGGCUUAACUGAGGAACUGCAACCAAAACUAUAUUUCUUGAGUAUCGGAGAGGAAAG